RNAcentral lists this ribosomal RNA (511 nucleotides) under uncultured bacterium. Its description in RNAcentral is "bacterial SSU rRNA". It matches the Rfam family "Bacterial small subunit ribosomal RNA", at positions 34 to 518 of the family's 1533-position model. The record is from RNAcentral.
CGCUGGCGGCGUGCCUAAUACAUGCAAGUCGAACGGUCUUUCUAUGGAAGCUUGCUUCCACUGAAAGAUAGUGGCGAACGGGUGAGUAACACGUGGGUAACCUGCCCAUAAGAGGGGGGAUAACAUCCGGAAACGGGUGCUAAUACCGCAUAGUUUUCUUGAUCGCAUGAUCGGGAAAGGAAAGACGGCCUUUGUGCUGUCGCUUAUGGAUGGACCCGCGGCGUAUUAGUUAGUUGGUGAGGUAACGGCUCACCAAGACGAUGAUACGUAGCCGACCUGAGAGGGUGAUCGGCCACAUUGGGACUGAGACACGGCCCAAACUCCUACGGGAGGCAGCAGUAGGGAAUCUUCCGCAAUGGACGAAAGUCUGACGGAGCAACGCCGCGUGAGUGAAAGAAGGUUUUCGGAUCGUAAAACUCUGUUGUCAGAGAAGAACAAGUUGGAGAGUAACUGCUCCAGCCUUGACGGUAUCUGACCAGAAAGCCACGGCUAACUACGUGCCAGCCGCGGC